AUGGCGACUAAGCUCGCAGCGCUCAUCGUCUUGGCCGCGUUCCUCGCCGGGCCGGCGGCGUCCGAGGCCGCCAGCAUUUGCUUCAACGGCUGGCUGAGGCUACCCACCUACAACCCGGUGCUCUGUCGCCCCAGGCCGGACGUUCAGACGCGGCAGAGGAGACCUGCUCCCUCGGGGUCAGGGCUCACCUCCGGCUAUUACAACACCAGGUGUCCCAGCGCGGAGAAGAUCGUCACGAAUGCCGUGAAGAAGGCCGUGGAUGCGAAUCCUGGCAUUGGUGCGGGGCUCAUCCGCCUCUUCUUCCACGACUGCUUCCUCCGGGGUUGCGAUGGUUCCGUCCUUCUCAACACGACCAACUCCAAGAACAGCGACACGGAGAGAGAAGGCCCUCCCAACCAGAACAGCCUCCGAGGGUUCGAGGUGGUUGACGAGGCCAAGGCGGCGAUCGAGGCCGCUUGCCCCGACACAGUCUCAUGUGCCGACAUUGUCGCCUACGCCGCCCGCGACGCGUCCUACUUUCUCAGCGACCGCAAGAUCAACAUCCAGAUGCCGGGCGGUCGCUACGACGGCCGCGAGUCCUUCUCCAACGAGACCGACCAGCUGCCCGGGCCCUUCUCCAACCUCCCGGCGCUCCAGGGGAGUUUCGCGGCCAAGGGACUCACCUCCGACGAGAUGGUCACGCUCUCCGGCGCGCACACCAUCGGCCGCGCCCGCUGCUUGUUCUUCUCCAGCCGCUUCUCUGAGAUGGACUCGGCAUAG
This 759-nucleotide ribosomal RNA is filed under the name Triticum aestivum (bread wheat). RNAcentral describes it as "partial small subunit ribosomal RNA". Lineage: Eukaryota; Viridiplantae; Streptophyta; Magnoliopsida; Poales; Poaceae. The record is from RNAcentral.